Molecule: ribosomal RNA, 476 nt
Filed under: Trieres chinensis
Lineage: Eukaryota; Bacillariophyta; Thalassiosirophyceae; Eupodiscales; Parodontellaceae
Description: partial Bacterial large subunit ribosomal RNA
Rfam family: Bacterial large subunit ribosomal RNA
Source: RNAcentral
AACGAUGGCCACACUGUCUCCACCCGAGACUCAGUGAAAUUGAAUUUGCGGUCAAGAUGCCGUAUACCCGCGGCUAGACGGAAAGACCCCGUGAACCUUUACUAUAGCUUUGCACUGGACUUUGAAUUUGCUUGUGUAGGAUAGGUGGGAGGCUUUGAAACCAGGAUUCCGGUCCCGGUGGAGCCGUCCUUGAAAUACCACCCUGUAUACCAUUUUGACCUAACUUGGACCCAUGAAUCUGGGCCGAAGACAGUGUUUGCUGGGCAGUUUGACUGGGGCGGUCUCCUCCUAAAGAGUAACGGAGGAGCGCGAAGGUACUCUAAAUACGGUCGGAAAUCGUAUGGUUAGUGUAAAGGCAAAAGAGUGCUUGACUGCGAGACGGACAUGUCGAGCAGGUACGAAAGUAGGUCUUAGUGAUCCGGUGGUUCUGUAUGGAAGGGCCAUCGCUCAACGGAUAAAAGGUACUCCGGGGAUAA